This 467-nucleotide ribosomal RNA is filed under the name uncultured bacterium. RNAcentral describes it as "partial 16S ribosomal RNA". It matches the Rfam family "Bacterial small subunit ribosomal RNA", at positions 28 to 506 of the family's 1533-position model. The record is from RNAcentral.
GACGAACGCUGGCGGCGUGCUUAACACAUGCAAGUCGAACGGAAAGGCCCUGCUUUUGUGGGGUGCUCGAGUGGCGAACGGGUGAGUAACACGUGAGUAACCUGCCCUUGACUUUGGGAUAACUUCAGGAAACUGGGGCUAAUACCGGAUAGGAGCUCCUGCUGCAUGGUGGGGGUUGGAAAGUUUCGGCGGUUGGGGAUGGACUCGCGGCUUAUCAGCUUGUUGGUGGGGUAGUGGCUUACCAAGGCUUUGACGGGUAGCCGGCCUGAGAGGGUGACCGGCCACAUGGGGACUGAGAUACGGCCCAGACUCCUACGGGAGGCAGCAGUGGGGAAUAUUGCACAAUGGGCGGAAGCCUGAUGCAGCAACGCCGCGUGCGGGAUGGCGGCCUUCGGGUUGUAAACCGCUUUCGCCUGUGACGAAGCGUGAGUGACGGUAAUGGGUAAAGAAGCACCGGCGAACUACGU